Molecule: transfer RNA, 72 nt
Filed under: Ilumatobacteraceae bacterium
Lineage: Bacteria; Bacillati; Actinomycetota; Acidimicrobiia; Acidimicrobiales; Ilumatobacteraceae
Description: tRNA-Thr
Rfam family: tRNA
About the family: Transfer RNA (tRNA) molecules are approximately 80 nucleotides in length.
Source: RNAcentral
GCCCCAAUGGUGUAACGGCAGCAUGCACGUUUCGUCAUUCGUGAGGUGCCGGUUCGAUCCCGGCUUGGGGCU